GCGCCCCGCAAGGGGAGUGGCAGACGGGUGAGUAACGCGUGGGAACAUACCCCUCGGUUCGGAAUAGCUCAGGGAAACUUGAAUUAAUACCGAAUACGGUCGAGAGGCGAAAGAUUUAUCGCCGAGGGAUUGGCCCGCGUCCGAUUAGCUAGUUGGUGAGGUAAUGGCCCACCAAGGCGACGAUCGGUAGCUGGUCUGAGAGGAUGAUCAGCCACAUUGGGACUGAGACACGGCCCAAACUCCUACGGGAGGCAGCAGUGGGGAAUAUUGGACAAUGGGCGCAAGCCUGAUCCAGCCAUGCCGCGUGAGUGAUGACGGCCUUAGGGUUGUAAAGCUCUUUCGUCAGGGACGAUAAUGACGGUACCUGAAGAAGAAGCCCCGGCUAACUUCGUGCCAGCAGCCGCGGUAAUACGAAGGGGGCUAGCGUUGUUCGGAAUUACUGGGCGUAAAGCGCGUGUAGGCGGGUCUUUAAGUCAGGGGUGAAAUGCCAGGGCUCAACCUUGGAACUGCCUUUGAUACUGGAGAUCUUGAGUCCGGGAGAGGUGAGUGGAACUGCGAGUGUAGAGGUGAAAUUCGUAGAUAUUCGCAAGAA
Molecule: ribosomal RNA, 592 nt
Filed under: uncultured bacterium
Lineage: Bacteria
Description: bacterial SSU rRNA
Rfam family: Bacterial small subunit ribosomal RNA
Source: RNAcentral